AUUUAUUGCCCUCACUUAAAAAGCAAUUUGUGAAAAAGUAUUAAAUCUUCGGCACGCGGAAAAUAAAACAUUUUUGGCCACCGGAAGUGGCAGCGAAAGAGAUUAAAAAGAUUGCCCAACAAAUUUGUAGAAACCGAAGACGCAUCUCUAGGAAAUAAAGUGUCAAGUCGAGUUCAACGAUUUAUUAUUGUUUAUGCUCGCAUGCGGAAAUCGUCUGCAAUUUAUAUCAAUUCAAAUACUAUAACAUAAUUGACAAUGAAGAAGAGUUAAGGAGGGGUUGAGAGAGAGCGUGGGUUGACUGAGUGUGCAAAAAAGCUAUGCACAAGGUGCAAAUUCAAUGGAAAUCUAAUCUGUGCAGAAAAGGGUUGGAAAAUGAUUUUAAUUGGCGUGACUUACACAGAAAAUAAUGAAGAGAGAACUCAUUAAGUUGAAAGUUCAUCAUAGUUGAAUGCGAAAUUUGAUAUUGAGUUUUAAAGAGUUUGCAGUUCUGUGGUAAUUAGGACUUGUUGAACCACCCUCGCUCGCUCUCUCCCCCAACUCGCUUUGUUGCCUGCUAUCAAUGGCAGCGAAAAGCAAAUGAAACCAAAGCCAUGACCAGAGGAAGCACAUCACACACACAUAAACAUAGCUGGGGUUAGGAUGCAGAGCACAGAAUAAACAAGUGAAGUGAUGCAGGGAACAAGAGAGGAGAGAGGAGAAGGAGAUGGAGACAACCCGAUAACGGACUGAACUAAGCCUGAUAUCAUUUAUCAUACUAAUGCCCGCACAAUUGAAUCCGCAGAGUGAACGAGAGAACGAGAACGAGAGCUGCUCUUUCGAUGCUUCUUGACACGCAUCAACAAUUCAGUGCCUCGCAUGUAAAUGCGAAUGGCGAAUGCGAAUGUGAAUAUAUAUGUAUAUAUAUGUAUGUGUAUGCGUAUGUGCAUGUGAUGGCUGAGA
Drosophila albomicans is the source of this 939-nucleotide long non-coding RNA. RefSeq lists it as uncharacterized. The transcript has 3 exons. The record is from RefSeq and is a predicted model, not a curated record. Lineage: Eukaryota; Metazoa; Arthropoda; Insecta; Diptera; Drosophilidae.